Molecule: long non-coding RNA, 574 nt
Organism: Rhododendron vialii
Lineage: Eukaryota; Viridiplantae; Streptophyta; Magnoliopsida; Ericales; Ericaceae
Exons: 2
Source: RefSeq, a predicted model, not a curated record
AGAAAUCUUGUGUGAUUCUGCGUCCACCAAGAUGAAUUUGUGGCUUCGGGUUGCGGAAUUGGUAGUCCCUCGUCAACUGAUUCGGUUAAUAGCAAAACAACAAAUCCUUGUGACAAGGUGAAAGAACAAAAUUUCCUCCACCGCAUGAAGACAGAUUUGGAGAUUCGUCGUCAAAUUAAUAAAGUGCUUGAGGGAUGUCCCCAUGUCGAUAUCUUUAUCGAGUGUAAAUAAACCGUAGAGGAUGAAAUUGAGAUGGAGUUCUGUCAGUUGAGACAGAAUUUUUUCAAGUGGAAGACAGUCGCAUCGAUGAGCAUAAUCGCCAUUGUAUUAACGGAAGUGGAAGACAGUCGCAUCGAUGAGCAUAAUCGCCGUUCAUAGGGGAGCGAUACUUUUGGAGACACAAUUUGAAUUUGAGUGUUAACUAGGUUUUCCUAUUUUGGAGUUUGAUUGAAGAGUUUCUGAGUUUAAUUGCUCUUUGUAUUACUUUUCAUGAUGCUUCUUGUGGAUGACACUAUGUAUAUGUUUGAUUUGGAGGAAUAAUAGACAGAAAAUGAUGGUUUAAUUGUUGGAGUCA